Solanum lycopersicum (tomato) is the source of this 788-nucleotide long non-coding RNA. RefSeq lists it as uncharacterized. Lineage: Eukaryota; Viridiplantae; Streptophyta; Magnoliopsida; Solanales; Solanaceae. The record is from RefSeq and is a predicted model, not a curated record.
GGGAGGAGAGCCACUCACACAAAUUUAUAAUAAUAUAUUCGAUAAAAUUUUACAGAUUCGAAAAAUGAUAAGAUAAAUACAUAUUUUAUUUUUAUCCCCAUGGAGUAGAAAGAUUAUUCUUUUUAUAGACCUUUGUGUUAGGAAGAAUGUAAGUUUCAGACGAUUAUUUUUGAAAAUCUUCAUAAAAUAACUAUUUCCAAUAGUUGUCUAGGGUCAUUUUUGUUUAGUCUGCAAAGUUGAUUUUAAAAUUUGAUUUAAAAAAAUUGUGAAUUUUGUAAGGUCUAAGGUGGUAUUUCGUAACAAUAUGAAUUUGGAGUCUCAAAAUAGCAUUUCAUCAAUUUCAUCCGCUCUAGAAUGUGGAAUUUGGUCUAAGAAUGAUGUCAUUUUUUGGUUGUAUUGAUGACUCGUAUGUGUUAAGGUGUUAGCAUUUUGUGAUAUAUUAACUGUGAACUGCUAGGUUGGGAUUGGUUCUGUGCACGUUGUGCUUGAAGAGGUUCGAUUGAGGUUCAAGUUUGGAUCUGCGAGAUUACUUUUUCUCCCCUUCUACAUCUGAGGCUUAUUACAGAGAGUGUUGAGGCAGCUGCUUGUCAUCCUAGCUGACACCUCUUUACUCCUUUAUCAUGAUUUUAUUCUAUUUUAGAAAAAAUGACAUUGAGAUUUGUAUUUUUCUUUAAACAAUUAAAAUUUUAGACUUUUAUUCUUGUUUUACUUCUACAUUUGUUGUUAUGUUUUGGGUUUUAGAAUGAUUUGUCUUGGUAGGAUAAAACAAGAGUCAUCACAUUCACUUU